Molecule: unclassified non-coding RNA, 5024 nt
Filed under: Hevea brasiliensis (rubber tree)
Lineage: Eukaryota; Viridiplantae; Streptophyta; Magnoliopsida; Malpighiales; Euphorbiaceae
Source: RNAcentral
UUCCAUUAAUGAAUCAAUAACAGACUUUCUCUCUCUGAUUCUACUCUUUUCUUUUCUCAUCUAAAUCUAAAUUCUCUUCUCAUCUACUUCUAUUCUCUUGAUCUGUUUUCAAUCUUGCAUUCAGAGGAUAAAUUAGGGUUGAACCCUAACAAUUUGGUAUCAGAGCAAGGUUACGACGGGAUUAGAUCUGCAAUUGUGAUUCUGGCAGUCGCAUGAUGACCAGAUCUGGAGUAGUUACUCAGGAUUCAACUAAUUCAGCUAAAAUAGCUGAAUUGGAGGAACAGAUUAGGGUUAUGCAGGAGGUGUCGAAGAAGGAUAAGGAAGAAUUGAGGGGAGAAAUUAAGCAAAGUGCAGACAAGAUCUUGGAGGAGAUGCGAUCCUUGUUUGCAGUUGUUAUGAUGGAUAAAAGUAAGGGAAAUAAUUCUGGAGAAAAUGAAGUAGCUGGAUCUGUAACUGCUGCUCUCGGAGGGAAGGGAAUUCUGCCCAAACCAAACGAGAAUGGGAAUCAGCAACAGAAAGAAGAUAAUAAUGCUGGAUCUACAGCAGACAAUGAAGGUAUGUCAAAGAUCUUGCCUAAAGUCAAAUUAGUGACAUUUGAUGGGAAGGAACCUAGGGCUUGGGUUAGGAAAUGUAUCAAAUACUUUGAGGUGUAUAGAGUACCUAAAGAUCAAAUGGUAGGAAUUGCUAGCCUGUUUUUAAUAGAUAGGGCUGAUGCCUGGUAUCACAAUUGGAUAAAGGGGGAUGGAUCUCAUGCUUGGGAUGAUUUUGAAAGGGAAUUGUGUGGAAGAUUUAGAGAGGAAGGGCUAGAGGAUAUUGUGGAAGAAUUUAUGAAGCUUAGGCAAGAAAAUUCCUUAGAAGAAUAUCAAGAUAUCUUUGAGGAUUUGAGGAUAAGGAUGGAAAGGGUUAUGCCAGAUUUGGGAGAGGCUUAUUUUCUUUCUGCCUUUAUUGGAGGGCUUAAGGAUGAAAUUAGAUUAAUGGUGAGAAUGAUGAAGCCAGCCACUUCAGCUGAUGUAGUAGAGAUUGCUAGGCUGCAAGAACAGUUAUGGGAUACAAAAAAGAAUAGAACCUUCAAUAAAACCUUCAAUUACAACCCAAGAUCUGUAACUUCCAAUUUCACUCCAUAUAAUUCCUACUCCAAACCUAAUCAAUUGUUUCCUUACCCCCCUAAACCACCAAAUCCAGAUUUGACCAGUAAAGCUCUAAAUUCUGCACCUACUAAACUUCUAUUGUAAGUACUUCUUUUGUUAACCAAAAUUCCAAUACUAAUCUUAUCAAAUUUACUGUCCAGAACAACUCAAACUCCAUAUUCCAAUCCAAACCCUGUUAUAAAUGUGGAGACAAAUACUUUCCAGGCCAUCAAUGUAAAACUAAGACAUUAGCAGCUUUGCAAGUUGGAGAGCAAGAAGAUGGGAAUGGAGAGGAGGUUUGGCAUGAGGUGGCAGAGGAAAUGGAAGAUGUGGGUGAUCAAGGAGAACUUACGCUUUCUGUUCAUGCAGUAGAAGGGAGUGAAGGGGCAGAAACUAUUAGAAUUUUAGGGAUCCAUAAAAAUAGAGAAAUGGUGAUUUUAAUUGAUAGUGGCAGCAAUAGUAGUUUUAUUGACAAGAAAGUGGCUGAGGAACUUAAGUUGGAGUUGGUGGAUAUACCUGCUACAACAAUAGCAGUAGCUGAUGGGAGAAAAUUGAAGUGCAGUCAUCAGUGUCAGCAGUUUAUGUGGAAAAUUCAGUCCUAUAAGUUUCAAUUUGACUUUAGAAUAUUAGCAUUGGGGAGUUUUGAUAUGAUUUUGGGAGUGGAUUGGCUUAGGAGCUUUAAUCCAGUGCUUUUUGAUUUUAGAGCCUGUAGGAUUUACUUUAUGAAAGAAGGAAAGGAAGUGAUUUUACAAGGACUAAAAUUACAAAGGGGGAAAGGGAAGGCUGCUUUGUUAUGUCAUUCUAAUGACUUAUUUGGAAGAAAUGGAGUGGAUUUUCAAUCUCCCUUACUUUGUAUAGUGGAGUCUCAAGUUGGAUCAUCUUCAGCACCUAAAAAGGAGACAUUUGGUGAAGCUGCAGUAGCAGAUUUGGGACUGCAGUCUAUGUUAAAGAAAUAUCAGGAGGUUUUUAAAGAACCUCAACCGCGGCCACCAUUCAGAAGUCACAACCAUGCUAUCCCUUUGCAACCUAAUACACAACCAAUUAAUAUUAGGCCAUAUAGGUAUCCCUAUUAUCAAAAGGCUGAAAUUGAGAAGCUGGUUUCAGAGAUGUUAGCUUCCUCAAUAAUCCAACCAAGUACAAGCCCUUUUUCAUCGCCAGUACUUUUAGUUAAAAAAAAAAGAUGGCACAUGGAGGUUUUGUAUAGACUACAGAAGGUUGAAUGAGAAGACUGUUAAGGACAAAUUUCCUAUCCCCAUUAUAGAUGACUUGUUGGAUGAAUUGUGUGGUGCCACCAUUUUUUCCAAAAUUGAUUUGAAAGCUGGGUAUCACCAAAUUAGGAUGGCUGAGCCAGACACCCCUAAAAUUGCAUUUCGAACACACCAGGGCCACUAUGAAUUUAAGGUUAUGCCUUUUGGGUUGACCAAUGCCCCUGCCACCUUUCAAGCCCUCAUGAACCAAAUUUUCCAACCAUUUUUAAGGAAGUUUGUUCUGGUUUUUUUUGAUGACAUACUCAUUUACAGCCCUGAUUUAGAAUCCCAUUUACAGCAUUUAGAAUCUGUUUUUAAGGUGUUGGAAGAGCAGCAGCUUUUUGCUAAAAUGUCUAAGUGCUCUUUUGGUCAGAAUUCUGUUGAUUAUUUAGGGCAUAUUAUUUCAGAAAAAGGAGUAUCUACAGAUCCAGACAAAAUUGAGGCUAUGGUAGCUUGGCCUUAUCCAACUUCUGUCAAGGAAUUGAGGAGUUUCUUGGGAUUGACAGGGUAUUACAGGAAGUUUGUUAGAAAUUAUGGGGUGAUUAGUAAGCCUCUUACAGAUUUAUUAAAGAGGGACAACUUCCAAUGGACUGAAGUUACUAGACAAGCAUUUGACUCAUUAAAAGUAGCUAUGUCUUCUGCUCCUGUUCUGGCAUUACCAAAUUUUACUCAGCCAUUUAUCAUUGAAACUGAUGCUAGCAGCUAUGGUAUGGGAGCUGUAUUACAGCAAAAUGGACACCCUAUUGCCUAUAUUUCUAAGGCUUUUGGGGUUAGGAAUCAAAGCCUUUCUGUAUACGACAAAGAGUUGCUGGCAAUCACUUUUGCUAUCACUAAAUGGAGGCAUUACCUUGAGCAAGGUCCCUUCUUCAUCAAAACUGAUCAUGAAAGUAUCAAGCACCUUUUAGAGCAAAGACUUCACACUAACCUACAACAGAAAGGUAUUUCUAAACUCUUGGGUUUAGAUUAUAAAAUUUUGUAUAAAAGAGGGAUAGAGAAUAGAGUGGCUGAUGCUUUAUCUAGAAGGCCACAUUCUGCUGUGACUCAAUUAUCUGUUGCUCAUUCUGAAAUCAUUCCUACUUGGAUGGCUAAUGUCCUUAAUAGCUAUGUUAAUGAUUCUAAGGCUGCGGAUUUAAUUACUCAACUUUCUUUGGAUAGUAAGGCUCAUUUCAAGUUUCAUUUGAAGCAAGGGCUGUUGUAUUACAACAAUAGAUUGUAUGUGGGUUGUCAUGGUAAUUUGAGGAAGCAAUUAAUAGCAUUGUAUCAUGACAGUGCUAUGGGAGGGCACUCCGGCAUUCACAAUUCUUAUAGUAGGCUGCAGAGACAUUUUUAUUGGCCUGGCAUGUAUACUGAAGUCUUGCAAUGGGUGCAACAAUGUGCAGAAUGUGCUAAAUGUAAGGGAAUGACUUCCGCUACCCCUGGGUUAUUACAGCCUUUACCAAUACCUUCUCAAGCAUGGCAGCACAUCACUAUGGAUUUUAUUGAGCAGCUUCCUAAGUCUGGAGGUAAGGAUACUGUCCUAGUGGUGGUUGAUAGGUAUACAAAAUAUGGCCAUUUCAUUGGAUUGGCUCAUCCCUUUACUGCAUCUUCUGUAGCAAGGGUCUUUAUAGAACACAUUUAUAAGCUUCAUGGUGCCCCUGUCACAAUUGUUUCAGAUCGAGAUAAAGUAUUUACAAGUGUGUUUUGGAAAGAAUUUUUCAAGCAGCUGGGCACUACUCUUUCUUAUAGUAGUGCUUACCACCCUCAAAGUGAUGGCCAAACAGAAAGGCUGAAUCAGUGCCUUGAAGGGUAUUUGAGGUGUAUGACUCAUCAUCAACCUAGUGCUUGGUUUAAAUGGUUGCAUUUAGCUGAAUGGUGGUACAAUACCACUCAUCACAGUUCCAUCAAGAUGAGUCCAUUUGAAGCAUUAUAUGGUUAUGCUCGGCCAGGAAUUCCUCCCAUUCUUGCCAACUUAUCACCAACAGCAAUUGUGAGUGAUUUUUUCUAGGAGCAGAAUCAUGUGUUCAGAUUGUUGAAGGAGAAUUUGGCUCAAGCUCAACAUAGAAUUAAGCAGCAGGCUGAUAAAAAGAGGACAGAAAGGGAGUUUGCAGUAGGUGACUGGGUUUAUUUGAAGCUUCAACCAUACAGGCAGUCCUCCAUAGCCAUCAGAAAAUCCCUUAAACUGGUUGCCAAAUAUUAUGGGCCCUUCCAAAUCAUGUCUAGAGUGGGUUCAGUAGCAUAUAGAUUACAACUGCCACAAAGUUCAAGGAUUCAUCCUAUUUUCCAUGUCUCGUUACUUAAGAAGAAGCUGGGAGAUAAUGUUACUCCAAUUCUGGAAUUACCAGAAUUGCAGGCAGACAAUACUGUUGCAGUGGCACAAGAAGCAGUACUGAAGACAAGAACCAUCUUUAGAAGCACUGUUCCUUUGAUUCAAGGCCUCAUUAAGCGGCUUAAUUUGCCUGAUGAUGAAGCUACAUGGGAAGACAAAGCCUUCAUUCAAGCUCAGUUUCCAGAAUUUUAUCCUUCUUGGGGACAAGAAGGCUCUCAUGGGGGAGGUAUUGUCACAUACAGGAGAAGAAAAGGAAAGAAUAAGAUAGCUGAGCCUAAGAAGGGAAGUGGAGGGAAAGUCAGUUAGUAGUGAGAAGUUUGUUACAGAGUCUGUUAUAGAUAGUAG